AGUGAACGCUGGCGGUAGGCCUAACACAUGCAAGUCGAACGGCAGCACAGUAAGAGCUUGCUCUUACGGGUGGCGAGUGGCGGACGGGUGAGGAAUACAUCGGAAUCUACUUUUUCGUGGGGGAUAACGUAGGGAAACUUACGCUAAUACCGCAUACGACCUACGGGUGAAAGCAGGGGAUCUUCGGACCUUUCGCGAUUGAAUGAGCCGAUGUCGGAUUAGCUAGUUGGCGGGGUAAAGGCCCACCAAGGCGACGAUCCGUAGCUGGUCUGAGAGGAUGAUCGGCCACACUGGAACUGAGACACGGUCCAGACUCCUACGGGAGGCAGCAGUGGGGAAUAUUGGACAAUGGGCGCAAGCCUGAUCCAGCAAUACCGCGUGGGUGAAGAAGGCCUUCGGGUUGUAAAGCCCUUUUGUUGGGAAAGAAAAGCAGCAGGUUAAUACCCCGAUGUUCUGACGGUACCCAAAGAAUAAGCACCGGCUAACUUCGUG
This 492-nucleotide ribosomal RNA is filed under the name uncultured bacterium. RNAcentral describes it as "partial 16S ribosomal RNA". It matches the Rfam family "Bacterial small subunit ribosomal RNA", at positions 29 to 507 of the family's 1533-position model. The record is from RNAcentral.